UACAGAGGGUGCGAGCGUUAAUCGGAAUUACUGGGCGUAAAGCGUGCGCAGGCGGUUCUGAAAGUCAGCUGUGAAAGCCCCGGGCUUAACCUGGGAACUGCGGUUGAAACUACAGGACUAGAAUCUGGCAGAGGGGGGUGGAAUUCCACGUGUAGCAGUGAAAUGCGUAGAGAUGUGGAGGAACACCGAUGGCGAAGGCAGCCCCCUGGGCUGAGAUUGACGCUCAGGCACGAAAGCGUGGGGAGCAAACAGG
RNAcentral lists this ribosomal RNA (253 nucleotides) under uncultured bacterium. RNAcentral describes it as "partial 16S ribosomal RNA". It matches the Rfam family "Bacterial small subunit ribosomal RNA", at positions 524 to 776 of the family's 1533-position model. The record is from RNAcentral.